CCUACGGGAGGCAGCAGUGGGGAAUCUUGCGCAAUGGGCGAAAGCCUGACGCAGCAACGCCGCGUGCGGGAAGAAGGCCCUAGGGUUGUAAACCGCUUUCAGUAGGAACGAAAAUGACGGUACCUGCAGAAGAAGGUGCGGCCAACUACGUGCCAGCAGCCGCGGUGACACGUAGGCACCAAGCGUUGUCCGGAUUUAUUGGGCGUAAAGAGCUCGUAGGCGGUUGAGUAAGUCGGGUGUGAAAACUCUGGGCUUAACCCAGAGCCGCCACUCGAUACUGCUGUGACUUGAGUUCGGUAGGGGAGCAGGGAAUUCCUAGUGUAGCGGUGAAAUGCGCAGAUAUUAGGAGGAACACCGGUGGCGAAGGCGCUGCUCUGGGCCGAUACUGACGCUGAGGAGCGAAAGCGUGGGUAGCAAACAGGAUUAGAUACCCUGGUAGUCCACGCCGUAAACGUUGGGCACUAGGUGUGGGUUCCAACCAACGGAAUCCGCGCCGUCGCUAACGCAUUAAGUGCCCCGCCUGGGGAGUCGGCGGCAACGCAAAACUCAAAGGAAUUGACGGCUGAGACGNGCCGACGCGACGACGAGGGAGAGG
Molecule: ribosomal RNA, 595 nt
Filed under: uncultured bacterium
Lineage: Bacteria
Description: bacterial SSU rRNA
Rfam family: Bacterial small subunit ribosomal RNA
Source: RNAcentral